UCUCUCACCAGUUGCCCCGGGUAGCCUGGGAGAAGCACCCACUCAGACCCUGACCUGACCCACAUCACACACCCAGGUGUGAAGCCUCCGGGCAACUUGAGCCCCACCACCAUGGGCUCUUCUCUUGGGGCAGGGGGCAGAGCCGUUCUGGGCCUCAUGGCCCUCCUCUGGGCCCUCGUGGUUCCAGGCAUCCAGCAGGAGAUCAGGGUGUUCCAGCGGUCCGUGAUGGUGGGGCACGCGGGUGGAGCUAUCACUAUGCCCUGUCAGAUCAGUAAGUCUGUGGAUUACGUCCACUGGUUCCGCCAACUGGAGGGCCAGGCCCCUGAGAGGCUUCUCUAUCUAGCCUUGUCCAAGCGGGAUGUGCAGUGGGAUUCGGUCCUAAGAGGUGAUAAAGUCAACGCGGCCCGCGGCACGGAUGGCAAGAGCUGCACCAUGUCCUUGAGGAAGCUGGCGAAGAGCGACGAAGGACUGUACUACUGUGCUACCUGGGAAUCGAAUUUAAACAACAUGAUCUUUGGUGAAGGAACAAAAGUUUUCGUCCUAGAUAAAAAACUUCCUGCAGAUACCUCCCCAAAACCCACAAUUUUUCUUCCUUCAAUUAAUGAAGUCAACCAUCAACAGGCUGCAACAUAUCUUUGUCUCCUGGAAAAUUUUUUCCCUGAUGUUAUUAAGGUUUCUUGGAAAGAAAAGAAUAGCAACAGAGUUCUGCCAUCCCAUCAGGGAAAUACCACAAAGACCAAUGACACAUACAUGACGUUCAGCUGGCUGACCGUGACAGAAAACUCCAUGCAUAAAGAGCACAUAUGUAUCGUCCAACAUGAGAAAACUACAAGAGGAAAAGAUCAAGAGAUUCUUUUUCCUGCAGUGAAUGAAGUUUUCAACCCAGUUGUCACUACUACUGAGCCUCCAAAUGAUUGUUUGAAAGAUGAAAGUGAAUUCGCUAAUUCUACAAAAGCAUGUCUGAAAGAUGAAAACAAUACCGUGCAGCUGCAGUUCACGUACAACUCUGCUUACUACACCUACCUCCUCCUCCUCCUCAAGAGUGCCAUCUACUUUGUCACCACCUCCUGCUGCGUGUUUAGGAGAACAGGUGUCUGCUGUGACGGGAAGAACUCGUGACGCAGGGGACAGCAAAGGGGCCAAUUUCCCUUCUUCAUCUAUUGUGUCAGAAACUCUCUACUGAAGACCUAGCCAGCCUUGCUUUCUGGGUUUGGGUUAUUUCAGGUGUUGUGUCUAAUUUUCUAUCAUUGUAUAAGGGUUUUUCAAAGCACUGGGCAGACAGUUUUCCUCUCUGACAAGAAUUCUGCCAUUACUCAAAGGCACGGCCCAGGGCUAGUCCAGGGGAGCCUCUCCCACCACUGUCCCCACAACCUCAUCAGCUCCUCCCCACCCCCAAGUCCUCAUGCCCCCCUGGAGCACACACAGUGCGUAUUUCCCUGUUUCCUCCUUGAGCAUCUCCACCGAGACCAUGGCCCUGAUCUUCCGUCACACACCCUGGAGAUGCUGGCUUUGCUACUUGAAUCCUGUACUUUGGUUUUCACAAUAAGCACAAUAAAUUUUAAAAAAGAAAUCAAAA
Molecule: non-coding RNA, 1576 nt
Organism: Bubalus bubalis (water buffalo)
Lineage: Eukaryota; Metazoa; Chordata; Mammalia; Artiodactyla; Bovidae
Source: the annotation of a RefSeq genome assembly